Molecule: ribosomal RNA, 253 nt
Filed under: uncultured bacterium
Lineage: Bacteria
Description: partial 16S ribosomal RNA
Rfam family: Bacterial small subunit ribosomal RNA
Source: RNAcentral
UACGGAGGGUGCAAGCGUUGUCCGGAUUUAUUGGGUUUAAAGGGUGCGUAGGUGGCUUAUUAAGUCAGAUGUGAAAGUCCUGGGCUUAACCUGGGGACUGCAUUUGAUACUGAUUGGCUUGAAUUCGGGAGAGGAUAGCGGAAUUCCCAGUGUAGAGGUGAAAUUCGUAGAUAUUGGGAAGAACACCGGUGGCGAAGGCGGCUAUCUGGACCGACAUUGACGCUGAUGCGCGAAAGCGUGGGGAGCAAACAGG